RNAcentral lists this unclassified non-coding RNA (402 nucleotides) under plant metagenome. RNAcentral's name for it is "partial contains 5.8S ribosomal RNA, internal transcribed spacer 2, and large subunit ribosomal RNA". It matches the Rfam family "Bacterial small subunit ribosomal RNA", at positions 358 to 777 of the family's 1533-position model. The record is from RNAcentral.
GGAAUAUUGGACAAUGGGCGCAAGCCUGAUCCAGCCAUGCCGCGUGAGUGAUGAAGGCCGUCGGGUUGUAAAGCUCUUUCACCCACGACGAUGAUGACGGUAGUGGGAGAAGAAGCCCCGGCUAACUUCGUGCCAGCAGCCGCGGUAAUACGAAGGGGGCAAGCGUUGUUCGGAAUGACUGGGCGUAAAGGGCGCGUAGGCGGUUCGUUGCGUCAGAUGUGAAAGCCCCGGGCUCAACCUGGGAACUGCAUUUGAUACGGGCGGGCUUGAAUCCAAGAGAGGGUGGUGGAAUUCCCAGUGUAGAGGUGAAAUUCGUAGAUAUUGGGAAGAACACCAGUGGCGAAGGCGGCCACCUGGCUUGGUAUUGACGCUGAGGCGCGAAAGCGUGGGGAGCAAACAGGA